Molecule: unclassified non-coding RNA, 2409 nt
Filed under: Leishmania donovani
Lineage: Eukaryota; Euglenozoa; Kinetoplastea; Trypanosomatida; Trypanosomatidae
Description: gene:LdHU3.32.4080(CDS-product:chaperone_protein_ DNAj_putative)
Source: RNAcentral
CAGACGUGCGUUCGCACCUUUCGGGUUUCUUUCAGAGCACCGAAAGCCCCAAGGCGCACUCAGCUGCGCCCCCUCCCCUCCCCUUUUUUCUCGAUCCACCCUAUGCGACGCCGCUUUGCGGUCGACACACACUCAACCCCUUCGACGCGCAUUUGCCAUUUUACCUCACAGUGCUUCCGUAGUGGCUCGGCAGCACAUCCUUUCUCUUUCUCAUUCCUUGUUGCCCAAGAGGACAGCCCGUUAGAUGAGCGACGACAGCGUUUAUGCACUGAGAGGCACGUCUGCCCUUUAUGAGGUCCUCGGUGUCUCGCGGAACGCCACGCAGCGCGAGAUUCGCCAGGGCUACUAUAGGCUUGCGGUGCUCUACCACCCCGACAAAAACCCAGAAGGGUCGGAUGUCUUCAAAGAGGUUUGCUUUGCCCAUGGAAUUCUCUCUGACCCAGAGCAGCGUGCCUUGUACGACAGCGGCACGCUGCGUGCAGAGCUCGAGUCGAGGGCGCGUGCCUGCUGCCCUUCCAUGGACCCAGGUGUGGAGCUGAGCCCAGAGGACCUGCGUGUUUUUGUGGACCGCGUGCGACAGACUCAGGAGGCCAAUCGGCAGGUGCAGUCUACCUUUGAGCUGAGGCGCGAGGAGGAGAUGAAGCGAAGGGCAGAGUUUGAUGCCAAGAAUCCGGCCUUUAAGUCGGAGUAUGAGCAGGCGCGCCGCCGGCGACAUCAUGCCUGCGGAGGCUCCACUUCUGCAGCCCAUGCACAUGCUUCCGCCACUGUAGACCUAUCAAAGACAGUACCACCCAAGGUGCGCACUUCCGCUGAGGUUCUGGCUGAGCUGCAGCGGGAGGAGGAAGAGCGCCUCUAUGGAAAUCCUGGAAUCGGCCCUGCCAACUCAAGCAGCGGCAAAGUAGCGGUGAGCGACGGCCUCUCUACGAAGCAUCACAUGCUGUCGCACUAUCGCGCCGCUCACAGCGAAGCUAGCGGAGCCGAAAGUCUUAGCAGCUUCUACAGCGGUGGCAGCGCCUCAGCCACCCUGCGACGCCGCCAACUGCAAACCACUAGCUUGCCAUUUGUCAGGGCGCACUGCGAGAAGCCUCAAUACAGCGAAACGAUUAGUGCGACGGUGCAGGCGUAUGCAAACUAUGACUACCUCACUUUCGUUGAAGGGGGUAGUAUGGAUCACGGGGAACUGGAGGGGGCGAUCAUGGCCGAUGCCUUGGGCAACUACGACCGACACCACUGAUGCUCACCGCACCGCACCUUUUCUUUGAGGGAACAAGAAAGGACAGGCAGGACGUGGGUAAGAGGAUCGAUAAGCAGUUAUUUUUGUUUUCCUCUCCUUUCUCUCAAACUGUGAUGACGGGAGGGCGGCACCUCGGUGCGCGGCAUCAAGGCCCAGCAGCACCCACUCGGUGGAGAGGCCUGGCAGUCCCCUUAUACAUGCCGGCGCCGAGCCACCCUUCAUGGUGGCAGGGUCAGGCGCCUACGACGUAUGGGGGCCAGAGCGACUUAUCGCUAAUGAUGUCGGCGGUGAGGUGCUGGAUGGCGCUGCGUUGGGGAGAGAUCCGCCACUGUGCGCACGCCUGUGCCGUCCGUAUGCUGGGCGGAGUGUCAGCGUGACUCGAACGUGUCCCACCCGGCCCUCGCACUGCCUGCUGGUGUAGGGAAGCCUGAGCGACCUCGGGCGAUGCAUCGCGUGGCGGUCAGCAUGGCUGGGGGCGACGGUGAGGCAGCCUGCGAGGCGGGGGCGGGGGGUGUUUGGGGCGCAGACGCUGCCCGCAUGCCUGAGCUGGCGCAUUGCCGCCACGCGUGUGCGCGGCUGCUUCGCGGCGUGCGAUGGGUCUCUGACGGGGCGGGCGGGGCGGGGCUCAACGUGUGUGCUGUGGCGGCGUGGACACGGUGAGAGAAAGCUCUUUUUUUGAAGUAUAAGUCUUUACUGCUACGCCGAUGGCGCUCAUUCUUACUGGGACGAUGUACAGCGAUUCAGCCUUUUCUUUGCGUUCGCGCUUCCUUUUUUCCCUGUAAAUGCCGUCACACCGAGCUCUCCAGCGCUCGGACGCACAAAGACACAUCAUAUGUACGCUGCCGCCAUGCACCUACUGUAAAAAAUGCGCCUCAACAUCGUAGUAAGAAAAUGAAACAGCUGAGGAGUCGGGAGCGGCUGUAGAGGCGCGUACGCACGUUCUGAGGCAGGUCUCUCUGCGCUUGCUUAAUCAAGUUCGACGAUGUUCUUCUCUCUGCGGGUUGCGCAAACGGCUCCCUUUUCUUUCAGCUGCGUCCCAGGGGUGUUUUAGAGCUCUCUGCCCCUUCCCACCGCGAUGCACAUGUAAGGUAUAUUAUUGCCAUCGCGGUGGAACAGAGAUCUUGGCCCACGAACAACUGCCACGUGUCAAUGCAAUUCCCACAUGGGAGCAGUCG